AUUUACGAGGAAAAAUUUGAGCUGAUUGCAACCUCACAAAAAAAUGCUAAAACAGAUUUU
This is a regulatory RNA element of Chryseobacterium koreense, 60 nucleotides long. NCBI's taxonomy places the organism in Bacteria, Pseudomonadati, Bacteroidota, Flavobacteriia, Flavobacteriales, Weeksellaceae. The record is from Rfam.